AACUUUCAACAACGGAUCUCUUGGUUCUGGCAAUCGAUGAAGAACGCAGCGAAAUGCGAUAAGUAGUGUGAAUUGCAGAAUUCAGUGAAUCAUCGAAUCUUUGAACGCACAUUGCGCCCCUUGGUAUUCCAUGGGGCAUGCCUGUGCGAGCGUCAUU
RNAcentral lists this ribosomal RNA (157 nucleotides) under fungal endophyte sp. AP352. Its description in RNAcentral is "5.8S ribosomal RNA". It matches the Rfam family "5.8S ribosomal RNA". Rfam says of the family: 5.8S ribosomal RNA (5.8S rRNA) is a component of the large subunit of the eukaryotic ribosome. The record is from RNAcentral. Lineage: Eukaryota; Fungi.